UUGCCCCAACAUUUAUAUUGAGAGGUUCGUUUAUUGUUCAAUAUAAAGACAUCAAUAAUGGUGAAGAGAUAACCUAUGAUUAUGGAGGACAUGACUUGCCAUGGCGUUCUCGCUAUGGCCAGAAAACGUGCGAGGUAGAUAUUUCCAAAUGUUAUUUAAAAAUUGAUACUAUCAUCGUCCAGUUGCUUGCUUCACAUUUUUUUCUGUCUUCCAGUUUGUCCAUGAGCCUGUCGCUCCAGCCUUGACAGGAAGUGAAGUCACAUCUCCUAAAGAGUUUGUCCAUGAGCCUGUCACUCCAGCCUUGACAAGAAGUGAAGUCACAUCUCCUGAAGAGUUUGUCCAUGAGCCUGUCACUACAGCCUUGACAGGAAGUGAAGUCACAUCUCCUGAAGAGUUUGUCCAUGAGCCUGUCACUCCAGCCUUGACAAGAAGUGAAGUCACAUCUCCUGAAGAGGUUUGU
Molecule: non-coding RNA, 460 nt
Organism: Pimephales promelas (fathead minnow)
Lineage: Eukaryota; Metazoa; Chordata; Actinopteri; Cypriniformes; Leuciscidae
Source: RefSeq, a predicted model, not a curated record